RNAcentral lists this ribosomal RNA (440 nucleotides) under uncultured bacterium. RNAcentral's name for it is "partial 16S ribosomal RNA". It matches the Rfam family "Bacterial small subunit ribosomal RNA", at positions 338 to 795 of the family's 1533-position model. The record is from RNAcentral.
CCUACGGAGAGCUGCAGUGGGGGAUAUUGCACAAUGGGGGAAACCCUGAUGCAGCGACGCCGCGUGUGGGAAGACGGUCCUCUGGAUUGUAAACCACUGUCCCCAGGGACGAAGAUGACGGUACCUGGGGAGGAAGCUCCGGCUAACUACGUGCCAGCAGCGGCGGUAAUACGUAGGGAGCGAGAGUUGUCCGGAAUUACUGGGUGUAAAGGGAGCGUAGGCGGGACUGCAAGUUGGGUGUCAAAUCUACCGGCUCAACCGGUAGCCGCACUCAAAACUGCAGUUCUUGAGUGAAGUAGAGGCAGGCGGAAUUCCUGGUGUAGCGGUGAAAUGCGUAGAUAUCAGGCGGAACACCGGUGGCGAAGGCGGCCUGCUGGACUGCAACUGACGUUGAGGCCCGAAAGCGUGGGGAGCAAACAGGAUUAGAUACCCUUGUAGUA